Triticum urartu is the source of this 2419-nucleotide long non-coding RNA. RefSeq lists it as uncharacterized. Lineage: Eukaryota; Viridiplantae; Streptophyta; Magnoliopsida; Poales; Poaceae. The record is from RefSeq and is a predicted model, not a curated record.
CAAAACAAAAGAACCGGACAGCCCGCACCCCACCACUCUCUCCUCUGUCCCGCGUUCCUUAUCCAACCGCAAACGCCACCGCCGCCAGCCCCAACUCCCCGGCGACCCGCCUCCCCCCGCCACCCACCUCCGGCGACGCGCCAAACCCAACGCCUCCCACCUCCGGCGACGAGCCACGCCCACCACGUCCCACCUCCCGCGGCGCGCCGCGCCCACCACUCCCACCUCCGGCCACGCGCCGCGCCCACCACCUCCCACCUCCGGCAACGCGCCGCGCCCACCACCUCCCAACUCCGGCGACGCGCCACGACCACCACACCAUGCCUCCUCUCUCGCGCCACCCGCCGCCCCUAAUAUCUGUAGUCCACCAUUGCUAAAAAUCAUCUUAUGAUUUUUGGACAAUGUUUUGUGCGAUUCAUUUGUUCAUCUUCAGAACUUGGAGAUAUUAAGUCUACUUUUUUCUAUGAUGAAGGUACAAAUGAGCUCCAUCUUCAAUGGUUAUCCCCCUAGUGCUUCAAAGAUGCCUAUUUUGUUUUCCCCAUGGCGCAGCGAGGAUGAUAGUGUUGACACUUACAAAAUUGUUUUCUGUGUUGCUAUGCUGUCAGUCCAAAGUGUGGUGAAGAUGCAGCCCUGGGUGUGUAGAUGAUGCGGUGUGUGUGUGUGCAUGAUGAUUGGUAGCUGUUGUGUGUGUGCAGUGUACAUCUGAUGAUAGCGAGUAGGCGGCAAGUGUACUAGUGAGCAGCUACUGAACUGAUUCUAACACUGCAACAUUAAUCCACUCUGCCUCCUCCGAUGAGUUCUUCAGUCCAAGUUCUCCCACGAUUCCGUCUCUGGUUUUGUUUCCCUUAACAUUGGUAAGAUAAAAGAUCAUUCAACUUCAAAUCUGUUUGGACUGAUAGUUCAACUUCUUUCGUACAAAAGGUUCAAAAAGUUUUGUACCUGAAAAUGCACAUAUUUGGAGUGCGCGAAUAUAUUUAGACUUCUACAAACCCCAAAACUAUGCAGAGUUAGGAUUGUUACUACCUUGUUUCUUACUAUCGAUUCAUUUGAGAAGGUAUUAAGUUGGUACAUGUAGUUGGACAUCUCAAUAUACUGUAAUGUGUUUUUUUGCAUAGUACCUUGAAAUUAUGUUAGCAAUUCUGAAUUACGAUUGUGCUUGAAACUGAAAAUGAUUCUGUAACUUCUCAAACCUCGUGGACUUGAUGCUUAAAAUACUUCCAGAACGAAUUGAUUCUUGUUCUUUCAUGAUCAGUUCAGCAAAUAAUUUUUUAGUUCAUUCCAAUUUCAAAUUCUCAUUUUAGUUUAGUCAAAGUUUCUUAUUUUUGUUCAGUACAAUAUCCAAGUUUAUUUAAGUUCAAUUCUUAUUUUAGUUUUAGUUCAUUUCAAUUCUUAUUUUAGUAAAUCUGUAGUCUAUGGAUUUUAUUUGGCCUAGAUUGCUAGAUGUACUAACUUGUUGUGCCAAGGCAAUCUAAAACAUUAAGUGUUGCUACUAUAAUUCGUUCAUUGUUUCACGCCUCCCCGCAGACGCGCGCCCCCACCUCCCCGCCGACGCCUACAAAUUAGAGUUCACUAAAAAAUGUGCUUGAAAUUUCAAUUUUUACGAACCAGAUAAUUUCUUAUUUACAGAUCUAAAUCGUGCGACUUAUCCAACUAGCUUAUGUUGUUUCUGACAUUGCUCUAAACCAUUUCUCAGUAAUAUUUUGUACGUAGCAAUGGACUUGGAAGGAUUUCAGUCCAUCACGCUAGUUGUCAAAAAGGUGUUGUUUGCUUUUGAAUGUAUAUGAUGACUUGAUUACCUAGGAAUUUAAACAUGGUAACUGUUUGCAGAAUAAUAUUUUGUAUAUAGGUACUGUCAUUUCUACGAACAGCCAGUUCCAUUAUACCUGUUGUUCGCCAUCGACGGUGCUGCCAUUUGAGUUUAUGGCUCUGUCCAUGGAGGCUUCCUAGAAGUUUCUCUGUUUCCAUGUAUGGUGUUCCAUGACAGAGGUCGUGACGCGUGAGGUUCCUUGGGUUAGGAUUGGUUUACUUUGCAUCUCAUAGUAGGAGGACAGGCACGACGUGCAUUCAGUCUCAGAACCUGAAACUAACCUGACUGAGGCAUAAGGAAGGAAGGGCCACCGUCCGAGGCGACGCGUACAUAUGUACACCCGGGAUUUAGGACAAGACACAACACCCGCUGCGGCGUACGUAGUACACUGAGGACUCCCUCGUCACUGGCAAAGACAAGAAAACUAGCAGCGUCCUUAGCCAGGUGUUCACGGUGAGCGGCUACUGAACUUGUACGGCUGCUGCUUUUGGACUGCCCAGGAAGCACAUCAUUAUAGAAGGCAAAAUCUGUAACCUAUAUAAUUCAUGUUUGUUCUGACCUCUUGUUCCUCUAAAGCAGCCAAAUACCGGUGCACCUAGUAGUUUAAAAUUA